AAACGACGACGCGACUGGCGCAGGUGGACCACCACCGGGGAGCGUCUUUGGGAUUCAACGGCCGCCCGCCUGGGUCAAGGAU
This 82-nucleotide non-coding RNA is filed under the name Actinomyces sp. RNAcentral's name for it is "ZTP sequence". It matches the Rfam family "ZMP/ZTP riboswitch aptamer (pfl RNA motif)". Rfam says of the family: Previously known as pfl RNA. The record is from RNAcentral. Lineage: Bacteria; Bacillati; Actinomycetota; Actinomycetes; Actinomycetales; Actinomycetaceae. RNAcentral also lists the same sequence under 1 other name.